This 73-nucleotide transfer RNA is filed under the name Mucilaginibacter sp. Its description in RNAcentral is "tRNA-Lys". It matches the Rfam family "tRNA". Rfam says of the family: Transfer RNA (tRNA) molecules are approximately 80 nucleotides in length. Their secondary structure includes four short double-helical elements and three loops (D, anti-codon, and T loops). RNAcentral also lists the same sequence under 5 other names. The record is from RNAcentral. Lineage: Bacteria; Pseudomonadati; Bacteroidota; Sphingobacteriia; Sphingobacteriales; Sphingobacteriaceae.
GAUCUCGUAGCUCAGCCGGUAGAGCAUAACACUUUUAAUGUUGGGGUCCUGGGUUCGAGUCCCAGCGGGAUCA